GAGCGCGUCGGGCUUACCCGUUAAGCCUUUGAUAAAUAACGGGACUUAGUGCCUUGACAUCGUAGGGGUCGCUGGUUCAAUCCCAGCUGCGCCCACCA
This 98-nucleotide transfer RNA is filed under the name Rhodospirillales bacterium. RNAcentral describes it as "tRNA-Leu". Lineage: Bacteria; Pseudomonadati; Pseudomonadota; Alphaproteobacteria; Rhodospirillales. The record is from RNAcentral.